UCCCUGGUGGCUCAGAUGGUAAAGAAUCUGUCUGCAAUACAGGAGACCUGGGUUCGAUCCCUGGGUUGGGAA
This 72-nucleotide transfer RNA is filed under the name Bos taurus (domestic cattle). It matches the Rfam family "tRNA". From Rfam's summary of the family: Transfer RNA (tRNA) molecules are approximately 80 nucleotides in length. Their secondary structure includes four short double-helical elements and three loops (D, anti-codon, and T loops). The record is from Rfam by way of RNAcentral. RNAcentral also lists the same sequence under 2 other names. Lineage: Eukaryota; Metazoa; Chordata; Mammalia; Artiodactyla; Bovidae.